GGAGGUAGUGACAAUAAAUCACAAUGCGGGACUGUUAGUCUUGCAAUUGGAUUGAGAACAACGUACAACUCUUAUCGAUAAGCCAUUGGAGGGCAAGUCUGGUGCCAGCAGCCGCGGUAAUUCCAGCUCCAAUAGCGUAUAUUAACGUUGUUGCAGUUAAAAAGCUCGUAGUUGAAGUGAGGGAGUGUGUGGGUAUGAGAGCUAGUCUCAAGUACUUACAACCUCCCCCCUCCAAUCGGUGUAGUGGGGUAUUCAGUUAUUCUACUACUCCUUUGGUCGUUUACUGUGAGAAAAUUAGAGUGUUCAAAGCGGGCGUUUGUUUGAAUAGAUUAGCAUGGAAUAAUGAUUGAAGGCUUUCGUGUUCGAUUUGAUUGGUUUGUUCAUGGAAGCAAGGUUAAAAGGAACAGUUGGGGGUAUUCAUAUUCACUAGUUAGAGGUGAAAUUCUCGGAUUUAUGGAAGAUGAACAAGUGCGAAAGCA
RNAcentral lists this ribosomal RNA (479 nucleotides) under Blastocystis sp. RNAcentral's name for it is "SSU rRNA". It matches the Rfam family "Eukaryotic small subunit ribosomal RNA", at positions 460 to 953 of the family's 1831-position model. Lineage: Eukaryota; Bigyra; Opalinata; Blastocystidae. The record is from RNAcentral. RNAcentral also lists the same sequence under 2 other names.